RNAcentral lists this ribosomal RNA (313 nucleotides) under uncultured soil bacterium. RNAcentral describes it as "bacterial SSU rRNA". It matches the Rfam family "Bacterial small subunit ribosomal RNA", at positions 26 to 363 of the family's 1533-position model. The record is from RNAcentral.
AGAACGAACGCUGGCGGCAUGCCUAACACAUGCAAGUCGAACGAGACCUUCGGGUCUAGUGGCGCACGGGUGCGUAACGCGUGGGAAUCUGCCCUUGGGUUCGGAAUAACAGUUGGAAACGACUGCUAAUACCGGAUGAUGACGUAAGUCCAAAGAUUUAUCGCCCAGGGAUGAGCCCGCGUAGGAUUAGCUAGUUGGUGAGGUAAAGGCUCACCAAGGCGACGAUCCUUAGCUGGUCUGAGAGGGAUGAUCAGCCGCACGUGGGACUGAGACACCGGCCCAGACUCCGUACGGGAGCAGCAGGUGGGGAAUA